This 436-nucleotide ribosomal RNA is filed under the name uncultured Alphaproteobacteria bacterium. RNAcentral's name for it is "bacterial SSU rRNA". It matches the Rfam family "Bacterial small subunit ribosomal RNA", at positions 46 to 526 of the family's 1533-position model. The record is from RNAcentral. Lineage: Bacteria; Pseudomonadati; Pseudomonadota; Alphaproteobacteria.
GCUUAACACAUGCAAGUCGAGCGGGCGUAGCAAUACGUCAGCGGCAGACGGGUGAGUAACGCGUGGGAACGUACCUUUUGGUUCGGAACAACACAGGGAAACUUGUGCUAAUACCGGAUAAGCCCUUACGGGGAAAGAUUUAUCGCCGAAAGAUCGGCCCGCGUCUGAUUAGCUAGUUGGUGAGGUAAUGGCUCACCAAGGCGACGAUCAGUAGCUGGUCUGAGAGGAUGAUCAGCCACAUUGGGACUGAGACACGGCCCAAACUCCUACGGGAGGCAGCAGUGGGGAAUAUUGGACAAUGGGCGAAAGCCUGAUCCAGCCAUGCCGCGUGAGUGAUGAAGGCCCUAGGGUUGUAAAGCUCUUUUGUGCGGGAAGAUAAUGACGGUACCGCAAGAAUAAGCCCCGGCUAACUUCGUGCCAGCAGCCGCGGUAAUAC